UACGGAGGGUGCAAGCGUUAUCCGGAUUCACUGGGUUUAAAGGGAGCGCAGGCGGAUUGGUAAGUCAGUGGUGAAAGGCUUAAGCUUAACUUGGGAACUGCCAUUGAUACUAUCAGUCUUGAAUGUUGUUGAGGUUUGCGGAAUGGGUCAUGUAGCGGUGAAAUGCUUAGAUAUGUAACGGAACACCUAUUGCGAAGGCAGCUCGCUACACUAUUAUUGACGCUGAGGCACGAAAGCGUGGGGAGCAAACAGG
This 253-nucleotide ribosomal RNA is filed under the name uncultured bacterium. RNAcentral describes it as "partial 16S ribosomal RNA". It matches the Rfam family "Bacterial small subunit ribosomal RNA", at positions 524 to 776 of the family's 1533-position model. The record is from RNAcentral.